CAGGAGGUAACCAAGCCAGGGGAAGGAUGGAGGUCGGAGUAGCUCAAAUAUAGUCAAAGAUUUGAGGUUUGGGUGCUUCACAGUAGUUUGGUAUCAGUUUUCUUUUGACUACGAUAGGCUGCCUAGUUGCAUAGCUUGAGGCAUUGGUAGCUUCAUCAACCGUUAGAGCUAAGGGCUGGGCACUAGCUUAACCUCCUAGAUCUUCUUCCUAGCCC
RNAcentral lists this long non-coding RNA (215 nucleotides) under Elaeis guineensis (African oil palm). RNAcentral's name for it is "long non-coding RNA (EGUI_LNC007934)". Lineage: Eukaryota; Viridiplantae; Streptophyta; Magnoliopsida; Arecales; Arecaceae. The record is from RNAcentral.